GGGGGGGGGGGGGGGGGGGGGGGGGGGGGGGGGGGGGGGGGGGGGGGGGGGGGGGGGGGGGGGGGGGGGGGGGGGGGGGGGGGGGCUGAGGGCACGGGGAGCGGCCGGGCCGCCCUCAGAGGGGUCCCCGCGGCCGGGGCGGGCUCCGGAGGGGAAAGGGAAAGGAAAAAGGAAAGGAAAGGAAAAAGGAAAAGCGGGAGAAUCCCCGCGGGAGGGCCCCUGAGGGGCAGCGGGGCCCGGCUGUGCUGAGGUGGAGCAAGGCCAAGGACAGGAAUCCUUCAGUUGCCACGAUUUUUUUUUCCCUUGGAAUGCCAGGACAAGGGGGAUGGAUUCAGGCUGGAAAAGAGCAGGGAUUCUUUUCCAGGUGCUGCUGGAUGAGGAUCCAAGCCCAAAUGCUGCUCUUUUCCAAGGAUUUUUGGGAUUUCUAAACUCUUCCCAUCAGCUGGAGCAGAACUCAGGGCAGGAUGAAGAUAAAGUCUCAGCUGUGAACAUGGAAAAAUUCCAGGAAUGUGGAUGAAAACAGCAAGAAUUCCAUUGGGAAUGGGGCGGGAAAGGCUGGGUCUAACUCCAGGUAAAAAUUCCAAUUUUAGGAAAAUAUUUGGAUUUUUGGGGUGGAAUUUUAGGAUUGGCUGAGAAAUCCUUGAUGGGAAUGAAUAUUCCAAAUUUUUUUGAAAUGUUUGGGUUUUGGGAAUGAGGCAAAAUUUGAUCUGAGCUCU
Molecule: long non-coding RNA, 716 nt
Filed under: Ficedula albicollis (Collared flycatcher)
Lineage: Eukaryota; Metazoa; Chordata; Aves; Passeriformes; Muscicapidae
Description: lncRNA (ENSFALG00000022906.1)
Source: RNAcentral